AAAGGAAUAGACGGGGGCCCGCACAAGCAGUGGAGUAUGUGGUUUAAUUCGAGGCAACGCGAAGAACCUUACCAGGGUUUGACAUCCCGCGCAAGGGGUAGAGAUACCCGGUUCCCUUCGGGGACGCGGAGACAGGUGGUGCAUGGUUGUCGUCAGCUCGUGUCGUGAGAUGUUCGGUUAAGUCCGGCAACGAGCGCAACCCUCGUUUCCAGUUGCCAUCAUUAAGUUGGGCACUCUGGCGAGACUGCCGUUGAUAAAACGGAGGAAGGUGGGGAUGACGUCAAAUCAUCAUGCCCCUUAUAUCCUGGGCUACACACGUACUACAAUGGGCGUUACAAUGGGCGGCCACACCGCGAGGUGGAGCGAAUCCCAAAAGGCGCCCUCAGUUCGGAUUGCAGGCUGAAACUCGCCUGCAUGAAGCAGGAAUUGCUAGUAAUGGCAGGUCAGCAUACUGCCGUGAAUACGUUCCCGGGCCUUGUACACACCGCCCGU
RNAcentral lists this ribosomal RNA (492 nucleotides) under uncultured bacterium. RNAcentral's name for it is "bacterial SSU rRNA". It matches the Rfam family "Bacterial small subunit ribosomal RNA", at positions 903 to 1397 of the family's 1533-position model. The record is from RNAcentral.